AACGAACGCUGGCGGCGUGCCUAACACAUGCAAGUCGUGCGAGAAAGUUCCUUCGGGAGCGAGUAAAGCGGCGCACGGGUGAGUAACACGUAGGUAACCUGCCCCUAAGUCUGGAACAACUAGAGGAAACUCUAGCUAAUGCCGGAUAAGACCACGAUCCCCUCGGGGGUUGCGGCCAAAGAUGGCCUCUACUUGUAAGCUAUCGCUGAGGGAUGGGCCUGCGGGCCAUUAGCUUGUUGGUGAGGUAACGGCUCACCAAGGCUGUGAUGGCUAGCUGGUCUGAGAGGAUGACCAGCCACACUGGGACUGAGACACGGCCCAGACUCCUACGGGAGGCAGCAGUGGGGAAUAUUGCGCAAUGGGCGAAAGCCUGACGCAGCGACGCCGCGUGGGUGGAUGAAGGCCUCGGUCGUAAGACCUGUCGCAGGGAAGGAA
Molecule: ribosomal RNA, 435 nt
Filed under: uncultured bacterium
Lineage: Bacteria
Description: bacterial SSU rRNA
Rfam family: Bacterial small subunit ribosomal RNA
Source: RNAcentral